UUCUCUCUUCAUUCGAGUCUUCCUCUACAAAGUUCUGGAACCUCGGCGAGCUCUCCUUGAUCUCUACUGGAAUCAUCGCAUCACACCCAUAGACCAAACUGAACGGGGUCUCAUGGGUUCCUGACUGCUCGGUGGUGUGGUAUGCCCAGACUAUACGGGGUACCUCCUCAGCCCAACUUCCCUUGGCUUUCUUGAGCCUCCUCUUCAAUCCUCUCAGCAAC
RNAcentral lists this long non-coding RNA (221 nucleotides) under Phaseolus vulgaris (common bean). RNAcentral describes it as "long non-coding RNA (PVUL_LNC000233)". Lineage: Eukaryota; Viridiplantae; Streptophyta; Magnoliopsida; Fabales; Fabaceae. The record is from RNAcentral.